AGAAUCAACGCUGGCGGCGUGCCUAACACAUGCAAGUCGAUCGAGAAAGUGGAGCAAUCCAUGAGUAAAGAGGCGCACGGGUGAGUAACACGUGACUAACCUACCUUCGAGUGGGGAAUAAACCUGGGGAAACCCGGGCUAAUACCGCAUAAUACCUACGGGUCAAAGGAGCAAUUCGCUUGAAGAGGGGGUCGCGGCAGAUUAGUUAGUUGGCGGGGUAAUGGCCCACCAAGACGAUGAUCUGUA
RNAcentral lists this ribosomal RNA (246 nucleotides) under uncultured bacterium. RNAcentral's name for it is "partial small subunit ribosomal RNA". It matches the Rfam family "Bacterial small subunit ribosomal RNA", at positions 26 to 285 of the family's 1533-position model. The record is from RNAcentral.